Molecule: ribosomal RNA, 450 nt
Filed under: uncultured bacterium
Lineage: Bacteria
Description: partial 16S ribosomal RNA
Rfam family: Bacterial small subunit ribosomal RNA
Source: RNAcentral
GUGGGGAAUCUUCCGCAAUGGACGAAAGUCUGACGGAGCAACGCCGCGUGAGUGAAGAAGGUUUUCGGAUCGUAAAGCUCUUUCGUUAGGGACGAACGUGCUCUUUGUGAAUAAUGAGGAGUAAUGACGGUACCUAAAUAAGAAGCCACGGCUAACUACGUGCCAGCAGCCGCGGUAAUACGUAGGUGGCAAGCGUUGUCCGGAAUUAUUGGGCGUAAAGCGCGCGCAGGCGGGAUAUCAAGUCUGUCUUAAAAGUGCGAGGCUCAACCUCGUGAGGGGACAGAAACUGGUAUUCUUGAGUGUCGGAGAAGAAAGUGGAAUUCCAAGUGUAGCGGUGAAAUGCGUAGAGAUUUGGAAGAACACCAGUGGCGAAGGCGACUUUCUGGACGAUGUCUGACGCUGAGGCGCGAAAGCUAGGGGAGCGAACGGGAUUAGAUACCCUGGUAGUCC